Molecule: ribosomal RNA, 210 nt
Filed under: Triticum aestivum (bread wheat)
Lineage: Eukaryota; Viridiplantae; Streptophyta; Magnoliopsida; Poales; Poaceae
Description: partial small subunit ribosomal RNA
Source: RNAcentral
AUGGACAGUUACAAAGGGAACAACAACCUUAGAUCAUGCACUUCAAGUUCAGGUCCCAUGGCACCAAAUGGUGUUGCAGGAAGUGUGGCUAAUGAUUCUGACCCGAUCCUUUACGUGGUCAGUGCCGUUUCAUUCAUCUUGGCAUUUUGGGCCACUGUCGCAUUCGUAUUUUGCCAUGCAUUUGGAAGGCGUCUUGUACUCAAACUGUAA